Molecule: long non-coding RNA, 970 nt
Filed under: Chrysolophus pictus (golden pheasant)
Lineage: Eukaryota; Metazoa; Chordata; Aves; Galliformes; Phasianidae
Description: lncRNA (ENSCPIG00010003431.1)
Source: RNAcentral
CACACUCAUUCAAGCAUUUACAAAAGCUUCUGAAGGACACACCUUGGAGUAGCAUGCAUUCCCUCCUUGGACAGCUUCAGUGAACAGCAGGCUUUGAGGUUCCUCUGCCUUGUGCCCCCUUCCACAGCCUGCUAUUUUCUUUUUGAUGCCUGGGGAAGAAAAGGACCAGCACAAGCUUCUCCCUAAAACAGAUGUCUGGGACCAUUACGAUUACAGGACGAGCUGCUGGGUUUUGAUCAGUAAACUCGUUCGCAAACUGAACGACUUCAGCCUGAGACGUACUCAUCUUGCUGCAGACACCCAGCUCCACGUUCGUCCGUGUUUCCAGAGACCUUCAAGGCCGAAGACGGAGGAAAUGCCUGAAUUUCCCCCGGCCCCUCCUCGCUUCUCGCCUGCCUCGGCAGCCAAUCCUCGCCCUGGGGAUGGGGGGGGGCUGGAGACAGCCCCAACCCAGCGUUUGUUUUAACAAACAUUUCGCACUGCCUAUGAGGAAACAUGCUGCUGCCCAGCGCUCGGGGAGGGUGGGAUUUCCUUCCUAUUGUCUGCCUGGCUCAGCCUGCAAUGCUUCGUAGCAGAGUUCUGCAUUAACUGUUUCGAGCUCUGGGUUCUUUUUCCUGUUGGAAAGUUAAUGACCAAAAGAGGUCUGUAAAGCACGUAUAUUGGAGAUCAAACAAAAUGCUGGUAAAUUCAAGAACUGAGGCUAACCAAGACUGGCUAGUACAGCUUCAAAUCUGUAUCUUAAUAAGCAUAAACAAGUCUUUACAACGCAAUUAAAAUUAAUUCAGAACAACCGAAAAGUGCAUUAUUUUUUCCUUCAGUACAUAUUCUGAAGGUGAUAUAAUACAGGUAGUUACCCAGGGGACCUCAUGAGUCUAUCAAAACACUACAAGACUCAUGAACACUUGUAUGUAAACUGUUUGCUUGUUUUUCUACAGUUGAUUUAAUUCACUGCCCAUCAGCUCAGGCAAGG